ACGGCUCAGUAACACGUGGAUAACCUGCCCUUGGGUCUGGGAUAACCCCGGGAAACUGGGGAUAAUACCGGAUAACGCAUAUAUGCUGGAAUGCUUUAUGCGUAAAAUGGAUUCGUCUGCCCAAGGAUGGGUCUGCGGCCUAUCAGGUAGUAGUGGGUGUAAUGUACCUACUAGCCUACAACGGGUACGGGUUGUGAGAGCAAGAGCCCGGAGAUGGAUUCUGAGACAUGAAUCCAGGCCCUACGGGGCGCAGCAGGCGCGAAAACUUUACAAUGCGGGAAACCGUGAUAAGGGGACACCGAGUGCCAGCAUCAUAUGUUGGCUGUCCAGAUGUGUAAAAUACAUCUGUUAGCAAGGGCCGGGCAAGACCGGUGCCAGCCGCCGCGGUAACACCGGCGGCCCGAGUGGUGAUCGUGAUUAUUGGGUCUAAAGGGUCCGUAGCCGGUUUGGUCAGUCCUCCGGGAAAUCUGACGGCUCAACCGUUAGGCUUUCGGUGGAUACUGCCAGACUUGGAACCGGGAGAGGUAAGAGGUACUACAGGGGUAGGAGUGAAAUCUUGUAAUCCCUGUGAGACCACCUGUGGCGAAGGCGUCUUACCAGAACGGGUUCGACGGUGAGGGACGAAAGCUGGGGGCACGAACCGGAUUAGAUACCCGGGUAGUCCCAGCCGUAAACGAUGCUCGCUAGGUGUCAGGCAUGGCGCGACCGUGUCUGGUGCCGCAGGGAAGCCGUGAAGCGAGCCACCUGGGAAGUACGGCCGCAAGGCUGAAACUUAAAGGAAUUGGCGGGGGAGCAC
RNAcentral lists this ribosomal RNA (796 nucleotides) under uncultured archaeon. RNAcentral's name for it is "bacterial SSU rRNA". It matches the Rfam family "Archaeal small subunit ribosomal RNA", at positions 85 to 879 of the family's 1478-position model. The record is from RNAcentral.